This is a long non-coding RNA of Papaver somniferum (opium poppy), 916 nucleotides long. RefSeq lists it as uncharacterized. The transcript is spliced from 5 exons. The record is from RefSeq and is a predicted model, not a curated record. NCBI's taxonomy places the organism in Eukaryota, Viridiplantae, Streptophyta, Magnoliopsida, Ranunculales, Papaveraceae.
CACUUCUGAAUACUUUCUGCUCGAACGUCUUAAUCGAGUCAUAUGCAAUCGAACUUCUUCUUCGUUUUUGCUACUUCUUAAUUUGAGAGUCAUAUGAAACUCUCAAAUCUCUUCGUUCUCUAUCUGUUUUUUCACGCUAAAAAACAACUAAUUUUCCAGGAGAUCCAAGACCUGUAAAAGCAUCAAAAUUAUCUAGGAGAUUGAAGAACAUAGUAGCGGUUGAUGUAAACUUCGAUAAUUUUUUCAACCCUGACUCCUGAAAUACAGGUUUGCGGUUUUGAUUCAGGGUUAUUGUUAUUCAAAUCAAACAUGUUCAUGGAAUUUUUAAGUGAAGAUCUCUUUUUUGAAGCCAAAUUAAGGAAAACCAAUCGGGGUUUACCCAAUGGUGAAAAUUCUCUAAGGAUGGUAGAAAUUACGGUUUUGCUUGAUAAAACAGGGCUUCAGGGUACUCAAAGUUUCUACCAAGAAUUAUAAAAGCAAAAGUGUUAUAUCGAUUUGUAUGUAGGGAUUUCUAUCGGUUAAUAUCAUCGUAAUUACACCUGCCGGUACCGGGAGAGAUAAUAAAAGGAGGAAGGCUUUCACUAGAACGGACCAUACAAAGAGGGGAUGGAAGACGUGCAGAGGGUGUUACAUAAAUGUUUUUCGCCUCUUUUUAAAGUCCAGGUUAAAUGUUCAACAACAGUUGAGAAAAUCUUCUCAUUCAUAGCAAAAAGACUAAACAAAAGUUGCUAAUUGAUUUGUUUUUCGUUCGUUAUAUGCACCGGUGAUAUACUGUUUCCCAUUCAUCUAUAUAGAGUUCUCCAUCUCUGCAUCAGUAAUAUACUCCUCUUUUUUAUUAUGUAACCCGCAUGUAGAUCUUGGGAAUAACCUAAAUUUGAUCAAAAUCUCAGCAAUGAAAAUGCAGAUAAUUUUCAAA